UGACGCUGCUUUGUUUGUUGUAUUGCAGGAAUUUACUAUUUUCUUAGUGAGAAGGAAAAUAGUUAGAAACAUUUGUAAGAUGUUUGAAAUAAAAAGAAAGAAUGAUUUCAUACUUUUCUCCAACUAAGAGUAUUUCAUAAAUUAAGUUAUUAUCAUGGCAUUAAUCAUCAUGAUGAUGAUGGUGAUAAUGAUUAUCAUCAUAAUCAUUACUGACGACGUACAGGCAGUCGUCAUCAUCAUCAUCAUUAACAAACCGCAUUAUCGUUGAGCAUCUCAAUCUCUCGGCAUGACUUGCUUUAACCAGCCAUCCAACCAACCACCACACACCACUUUACUGUUGAGGAACAGAGCUGUUGUUGUUGUUUCUUUAAUUUAACAAUUUCAAGUUUGUAUCUUAAGUCUUUUGUUUUUUUUUUCUUUCUUUAACUUUAACUUUAUAACACCGGAUUUUGUAUGAGCGAGUGUUUUCUUAACUCCAUAUUGUUAAUGUAUGUGUGUAUUUCUUUCUUUUUGUGAAAUAAAAUUAUUUUUAAUUCUUGCUAUAAACUUUCUUAUACAAAUGUCUUAAAAAUGUUAUAACAUUUCUUUCUUUUUUUUUAAAUAUUAUUUCGUUAAACAAAAGCAUCAAUAAAAUCUAUAGAAAAAAACUAUCGUUAUAAUUUCAAACAUUUCUUAUUGAUGAAGCAAUCCUAACGCUUUUUUCAAUAUAAAAUUGUUUCAUAUUUUUGGUUAUAUAAAAUUAAAUUUCUUUAGAAAAUAUAUAUUUAAUUACUAUUCUUCUUA
Molecule: long non-coding RNA, 783 nt
Organism: Lucilia cuprina (Australian sheep blowfly)
Lineage: Eukaryota; Metazoa; Arthropoda; Insecta; Diptera; Calliphoridae
Exons: 3
Source: RefSeq, a predicted model, not a curated record